UAUCUUACCUGGCAGGGAGCACCACGAUCAGGAAAGUGUUUCCCUAGAGUGAGGCUGCUCAUCCACUGAACUAAGGAUGUGCUGACCCCGGAGAUUUCCCCAAAGGCAGAAAACGUGAGCAAAUGAUUGAUGGUAGUAGAGGACUGUGUUCACACUCUGACCUGAA
Molecule: small nuclear RNA, 166 nt
Organism: Grammomys surdaster
Lineage: Eukaryota; Metazoa; Chordata; Mammalia; Rodentia; Muridae
Product: U1 spliceosomal RNA
Exons: 1
Source: RefSeq, a predicted model, not a curated record